Molecule: long non-coding RNA, 910 nt
Organism: Aedes albopictus (Asian tiger mosquito)
Lineage: Eukaryota; Metazoa; Arthropoda; Insecta; Diptera; Culicidae
Exons: 2
Source: RefSeq, a predicted model, not a curated record
CCUGCUGAUGAGUUCGAGUGGCGCCAACACUGCAUCGAGAAUACCAAUAUCUGAAGAGAUCCCCUUAAGAGUGAAUUGGAAACUGAUGCAACAACUUCUAAACCAGUUUUGGAAGCGGUGGAUUCAAGGCUAUCUCCCUACCAUAGCACGUCGGACCAAGUGGUUCAACGAUGUCCGCCCGCUCCAAGUUGACGAUCCGGUAAUCAUCGUAGACGAGACGGUUCGUAACGGAUGGCUUCGAGGUCGUAUUGUGAAGGUCUACACAGCGAGUGAUGGUCAGGUCAGGAAGGUUGAUGUCCAGACAGCAUCAGGAGUAUACCAGAGACCAGCGAGCAAAGUAGCUUUGUUGGACGUUCUGCAGAGUGGUAAGGCCGUUCAAAGGUAAGGCAUUACGGGUCGGGGUGUUGCGGAAUACGAACGAUAGGCCCUUUGGAUCUACUCUACAUAGAGGCCACGUGACGUAGCGUUGAACGUCAACCGUGACUUAUCGAUGACAGCUCUUCAACCACGACAGCAAAAAGCAAAUGGAAACAUACCCAGAAGAACGUGAAGUUGAUGGAAAACUUAAUAUUUCGAUUAUUGCUAUUAUUUCUAUUAUAAAUUAGUUCAUUUAACUAACUACAGUAAAAUAACGUGAAUUAUUCAUAGUUUGAGGUCGGUAUAAGUAAAACUAUAGUUAGUCUUUGGUGCGAAGUUAUCGUAUAAUCUAAAUACCGAUCUGAUUUAUAUUAAUAAGUAAGUACGGACAACUGAAUUAGUUAGAUCUGAGUUUAAUUAAGAUUUUGUUUUGCGUAUUAGCUCACCUAACCUCAGAAUCUGCCACUGGAACCGUAAUUGGAGUUUUUGGAUAUUAAGGAAACUAAUUUGUGAGUAAUUAUUGAAUUUAUUGGAUCGAUGUAUGUUAAAUAAA